This 74-nucleotide transfer RNA is filed under the name Ferruginibacter paludis. RNAcentral describes it as "tRNA-Pro". It matches the Rfam family "tRNA". Rfam says of the family: Transfer RNA (tRNA) molecules are approximately 80 nucleotides in length. Their secondary structure includes four short double-helical elements and three loops (D, anti-codon, and T loops). Further hydrogen bonds mediate the characteristic L-shaped molecular structure. tRNAs have two regions of fundamental functional importance: the anti-codon, which is responsible for specific mRNA codon recognition, and the 3' end, to which the tRNAs corresponding amino acid is attached (by aminoacyl-tRNA synthetases). tRNAs cope with the degeneracy of the genetic code in two manners: having more than one tRNA (with a specific anti-codon) for a particular amino acid; and 'wobble' base-pairing, i.e. permitting non-standard base-pairing at the 3rd anti-codon position. RNAcentral also lists the same sequence under 2 other names. The record is from RNAcentral. Lineage: Bacteria; Pseudomonadati; Bacteroidota; Chitinophagia; Chitinophagales; Chitinophagaceae.
CGGGACGUAGCGCAGGCCGGUAGCGCACCAGGCUGGGGGUCUGGGGGUCGCAAGUUCGAAUCUUGUCGUCCCGA